GUUUAAUAACGAAAUGUUAUAAGGAGUAAACACAUGUUGCUGAGAUCUAUAACUUUCCAGAAAUUCGGAAAACCGUUUUCUUAUGGAUAAGAAAAUUGCUUUAAAAUUUUUAAAGUAAAAAAUUUGGUGAAUUGAAUCAUCUAAGUAACCAAAAUUAAAAUCAACCGAGAAAUUGUUAUUAGUGGCGAGCGAACACAAUGAUAGACUUCAAACUUAUUUUUUAUUUAAUAUUUUACGAGCCAAAGAAGGUAGCCUAUUUUUAAGGACAGCCCUGUAAAAUAAAACAUAAGUUUGUUAUUUUAGUAGAACGAUGCAAGUCAUGCUUUGUUUGAAUAUUGGGGGCCCACCCUCAAAGUCUAAAAAUUUUAAUGACUGAUAGCGAACAGUACUGUAAAGGAAAAGUGAAAAAGACUUUGCGAAAGUGAAAAGAGUUCGAAACUUAAUGCUAACAAUCUGUCAAAGCUUUCUAAAGUGAUGACGUACCUUUUGUAUAAUGGACCAACAAGUUUACUUUAAUGGCGAGCUUAACUAAUAAAAUAUAUAGGCGUAAAGAAAUUGAGUUUUAAAAUGCUCGUUAGUCAUUAGAGUAAGACCCGAAACUAAGUGAUCUAACCAUGGACAGGUUGAUGAAUAGGCGGCAACGCUUGUCGGAGGACCGAACCCGUGUAUGUGGCAAAAUACUGGGAUGAUCUGUGGUUAGGGGUGAAAGGCCAAUCAAACUUAGAGAUAGCUGGUUUUCUGCGAAAUCUAUUUAAGUAGAGCGUUUAAAAGACUUUUAUAAGGGUAGAGCUCUCGAUAAACAAUGGGAACGUAAAGUUUUACUGAGUUUAUUGAAACUUCGAAUAUUACUAAAAUGACUUUAAACAGACAGUCCAUGAGUGCUAAGAUUCAUGGUCGAGAGGGAAACAGCCCAGACUAUUAAUUAAGGUUCGUAAAAAUAAUUAAGUGAAGAAAUUGUAAAAAAAUGUUGACAACCGAAAAGUAGGCUUAGAAGCAGCCAUCUUUUAAAGAAAGCGUAACAGCUCAUUGGUUUAGUUUUUUUGCAUUAAAAAUGUUUAGAACUAAAAUUAUUUACCGAAAUUAUAGAUUUUCAAUAAAAAUGGUAGCAGAACGUUUUGUAUGUCUGAGAAGUCUUAUAUUAAUAUAAGAUGGAGAUAUCAAAAAUGAAAAUGUUGGUACGAGUAACGUUAAACAAUGUGUAAAACAUUGUCGCCUUAAGUUCAAGGUUUCCAAAACAAGGUUAAUCCUUUUUGGUAUUAAAUUAAUUCGGUCUCUAAGAAAAAAACGAAAGUUUUGUUUUAAUGAGAUAAAAAUCAAUUUUUUAAUUUUAGGAAGUGACAAAAUACAAAUAUUAUUUUUAUUUUAUGGUUAUAAUAAAGGUUGUAUAGUAUUUUCUAGAAAAAGCUUCUUAAAGUAAUAAAACCGUACCCUAAACCGACACAGGUGAACAAGU
Molecule: ribosomal RNA, 1453 nt
Filed under: Durinskia baltica
Lineage: Eukaryota; Dinophyceae; Peridiniales; Kryptoperidiniaceae
Description: partial Bacterial large subunit ribosomal RNA
Rfam family: Bacterial large subunit ribosomal RNA
Source: RNAcentral